RNAcentral lists this unclassified non-coding RNA (337 nucleotides) under soil metagenome. RNAcentral describes it as "partial contains 5.8S ribosomal RNA, internal transcribed spacer 2, and large subunit ribosomal RNA". The stretch from base 1 to 120 matches the Rfam family "5.8S ribosomal RNA", at positions 35 to 154 of the family's 154-position model. The record is from RNAcentral.
GAUGAAGAACGUAGCGAAAUGCGAUAAGUAGUGUGAAUUGCAGAAUUCAGUGAAUCAUCGAAUCUUUGAACGCACAUUGCGCCCCUUGGUAUUCCAUGGGGCAUGCCUGUUCGAGCGUCAUUUGUACCUUCAAGCUCUGCUUGGUGUUGGGUGUUUGUCUCGCCUCUGCGUGUAGACUCGCCUCAAAACAAUUGGCAGCCGGCGUAUUGAUUUCGGAGCGCAGUACAUCUCGCGCUUUGCACUCAUAACGACGACGUCCAAAAGUACAUUUUUACACUCUUGACCUCGGAUCAGGUGGGGAUACCCGCUGAACUUAAGCAUAUCAAUAAGCGGAGGA